Homo sapiens (human) is the source of this 1284-nucleotide long non-coding RNA. Ensembl annotates it as long intergenic non-protein coding RNA 870. NCBI's taxonomy places the organism in Eukaryota, Metazoa, Chordata, Mammalia, Primates, Hominidae. The record is from Ensembl.
ACGCUUCCAGAUGGACAGUCCCAAAGAGAAUGGUUUGUUUCCUUUCGUCUUCCUCCACGAUGCAUUUUACGAUUGCAGAGGGUCCUGCUUGCCAUGUGUUUGCUUCUAAUCUACUCGUUUAUGGAACGCACACGCUGUGCCAGGCAUUGUGCACAGAGAGACCCAGUUCCUGCCCUCUUGGAGUUUAUAUGACAUGAGCUGAAGACAGACAAGAAGCAAGUGUAAGAGCUACCAGAGGGAGGAAAGUGGAAGCUACCAGACGGAGGAAGCAUAAACCAGGUCCUGAUCCCUGAUUAAUUGAGAAUCAGCCAGCUUGGGAAGGGGAUGGCUGCGCAAGCCCACAGAACGCAGACUCCCAGAGGAGGCAGGGGUAGGAAAGCUCUUGGCCGUGGCCUGAUUGUCUGGGAGACGGGAGUCAAGAUGGCUUGGUUUCAACAAACUGGCUUUGAUUACUUGGCGUUUGGCUCUGUGCUCUCUGGCCAGGUCAGCCUGACCCACGGUUGUCACCCCAGAGGACUGUGAAAUAACAAGUGCAGUUAACUGGCCACUGCUGAUCUGCGCCUAGAAGACAACGUCUCAGUUGUUAAGGCUUUUGUUGGCCUGCUCAGGAAGCGAUUCUUUUUGCCUGCAAAUUAUUGUAGGUUCCUGAGGGAACCGUGCCAGUCCUUGCCCUUUAGCUGCUCUGCUCUGUGCUGGGCUUGUGGGGUGAGAGAGGAGACAGAAUAGGGAGAAGGAGGAGAGGGGAGGCUGUACCUUGUAGGUGGAUAUUUUAAGGCUCUAAUGUUAGCUGUGGUUGGAAUUGACCAAGGGAGGCACUAGCAAGAGGUUGGAGGGCCGGAAGAGGAAAGAAACCAGAGUUUCUCUCCAACUCCUCUCUCUCUUUCUCUGCCUCAGAUGGUCAAAAUUUUAAGGAGACAGAAUCCAACAGGGCUGGGAUUAGGAUGAAGUGAGUGAGGCUGAGCUGUGCAAAUACGAGGUCAGAUCCUGACCUUGUUCAUCAUGGAAUUUUUGCAUUAAUGUUGAUAUUUUUUAAAUAUUGUGUUGAAAUAUUUAUCUUGAUUACUGAGCUUUUUGACAUUUCCUUAGACUUUAUCCCAAAGCAAGAGCCUUGCUUGUUUCACCCUGGUCCUGGCCUUGCCUUCCAGUGUGUCGGACACAUUUACGCACAGAGAAAAAUAGGCAAUCCAAAUGGUCCAACUCUAUUGGAUAUUCUCUAUGCUGCUUUCAUUCACUCAAUAAUGUGUAGCUGAGCACUUUUCUGUGUCAAUGAAUAUAGUUCCACAU